UACGUAGGGUGCGAGCGUUGUCCGGAAUUAUUGGGCGUAAAGAGCUCGUAGGCGGUCUGUCGCGUCGGUCGUGAAAACUUGGGGCUUAACCCUGAGCUUGCGGUCGAUACGGGCAUGACUGGAGUUCGGUAGGGGAGACUGGAAUUCCUGGUGUAGCGGUGAAAUGCGCAGAUAUCAGGAGGAACACCGGUGGCGAAGGCGGGUCUCUGGGACGGUACUGACGCUGAGACGCGAAAGCGUGGGGAGCGAUCCGG
Molecule: ribosomal RNA, 254 nt
Filed under: uncultured bacterium
Lineage: Bacteria
Description: partial 16S ribosomal RNA
Rfam family: Bacterial small subunit ribosomal RNA
Source: RNAcentral